ACAAUGAAUAGGCACCCGCCGGGAUAUGUCCGUGGUAACGGCUAAAUAUCUUGCAAUUGAAUUCCCUCGCCGCCGCCGUCAUGUUAGAAUAGAAUAGAAUAGAAUAGAAAAAGUUUAUUAUAAAAGGACGCCACUCACAAAAAAAAAGACAACAACAUCAUAUCAAAUUUCCACUAAAACAAUUACAAAAAAGCAAGACGGAUGUUUGUCGAAAUGACCAUAAGGUGGUGGUGGACGUCCUGAGAUAAAAGGGCCUCACUCAGCACAAGUCGCGGCGUGAACCACGACGCUGAUAUUAUGUGGACCCUGUUGGGUGACGCACGAACAUCGUAUUUCAUAAACAUGUGUUAAUGGUGUAUAUAUUCCAAUUCAAUUCCAAAAUAUACUUUAUAAUAUAUACCAAAUUAUUUUAAUAGAAUUAGAGUGUACAUAGACAAAUAUUAUCGCAAAGAUGUAUACGUAAAUACUUAAGGUUAGAAUAAAAAAGAAAGUUAUUAAUAUAGGUAAAACUAGUAAACAAAUGUAAUAAUAUAAACAAAUACGAAUUCCAUGAAUGUGUAUUGUGUAGUCUGUCUGUGUUAGAACCUAUAUGUAUAUCGCGCGCGCCGCACCCCGAUUCUAGCUCGGUCGGUAAAGUAGUUUGGUUACUACUAGUACUUACAAACAAAAUAUUUUUUUUUCCAUUCGACCGCCGCGCCGCCGAACGGGCACAACGUGUUCCUAAAGUAAAGCGAGAUUAUAUAUUUGUAAUAGAAUUGCGUAUAUUAAUUAAAAAGAAAAAAUAAAGUGAAUCAAAUAAAGCAAAUAUUAUACAUUAACCAAAUUAGAAACAAUAAAUUACGUCCAAUACACUCAACAACAUCCAUAGUAAAUAAUAGAAACGUGCAGUCGUUUGAAAACCCCAAUAAACAAUCCAUGAGACCAUGCAAACAUUACCCGAAGGAAAAUAAUAAUAAUCAUGACAAAGGUUGUGUCGCCGCAUCCAGCCCGCUAGGAGGACUCCGCCACGUUGACGUGUCGAAACCAAUUAGACUACGAAACGGCGGCGGCAAAUCGUUCCAGCACCUGGAUGCGGCGAACCUGAAACUGCCCCGGAAAGCGGUGGUGCGGUGACGAGGCACCGCGAGCAUCUCUCGUUUCGCCUGCUAUGUUCUAUUGUGGAUGGCAUCUCGGUGCAGUGGACAGGCACCCACAUCGAGACAUCAGACGGUUGGUUCUGAUUGGAUGUACGCAGGCGCAGAAGCCACUUAUACUCAAGGCUUUUGGCAUACAGGACUUGUCUUACGAGACUUUCGUUUCGGUUGCAAGAAUGACUUAUUCUAUAUUCGCAGUAUUUUAUCAGCGUGGAGAGUGAAUGAACAGUUCCUCGAAUACAAAUUAUGGCCCCAUUAAUGAAAUAAUUACAAGCUUUCAUUAAAUGCAUAUUAAUCAGUUCAAAAGGCCAAUUCGUGGAAUAAAGUUCGGAACAAUCGACGAAUUUUAACAAAUUUUCAUCUUCAUAAGUUAAGGAGAUGCCAACAAGUAUUGGUGUGUUUUCUUAAAAUAACUUGUUUAUCCUCGCACUAAAUUGUUCCAUUGAAAGGCAAUAAUUAUGUAAAAUUUAAACUAUUUUAAGUAUUUUGAAAUUAAAUGAAAAAUGUUCUCUUUCGAUGGUUUCUAUAGGUACGUAUACGUAGUAUUAUUACUUAUUCUAUGCUAUAGGUGAACAAUACACUAAACUUAUUUAUAUACAUACACAAAGAAACUCACAGUGUUGUCGACUUUUGAAAAAGUGCUGUUUUUGUCGUUGAU
Molecule: unclassified non-coding RNA, 1791 nt
Filed under: Pectinophora gossypiella (pink bollworm)
Lineage: Eukaryota; Metazoa; Arthropoda; Insecta; Lepidoptera; Gelechiidae
Description: uncharacterized LOC126371019
Source: RNAcentral